AUGAAGAACAAUCAAUUCCACUUUUGGAUUUUCGAAUUGCGAGAAAUUUUUAGAGAGAGCAAGAAUUGUGCCUAUUUCUUAGAUUCCUGGACGCAAUUCAAUUCAGCGAUAUCUGUCAUUCACAUUUUUUUGCAUCAAGAGAGUUUGAUAAAAGUCUUAGACUCCAGAAUUUGGAGUAUCCUAGUUUCACGUCAGUCACAGGGUUUAACAAGAAAUCGAUAUUUCACGAUCAAGAAUAUGGUCCCAACUUCAUCUGGAUUUGAAUCCUACUGA
Molecule: non-coding RNA, 273 nt
Organism: Vicia faba (fava bean)
Lineage: Eukaryota; Viridiplantae; Streptophyta; Magnoliopsida; Fabales; Fabaceae
Source: the annotation of a GenBank genome assembly